RNAcentral lists this ribosomal RNA (441 nucleotides) under uncultured bacterium. RNAcentral describes it as "bacterial SSU rRNA". It matches the Rfam family "Bacterial small subunit ribosomal RNA", at positions 958 to 1400 of the family's 1533-position model. The record is from RNAcentral.
AACGCGAAGAACCUUACCCAGACUUGACAUGCAGAGGACAGGCCUAGAGAUAGGCCCUCCCUUCGGGGCUUCUGCACAGGUGCUGCAUGGCUGUCGUCAGCUCGUGCCGUGAGGUGUUGGGUUAAGUCCCGCAACGAGCGCAACCCUUAUCAUUAGUUGCCAACAUGUUAUGGUGGGAACUCUAGUGAGACUGCCUGGGUUAACCAGGAGGAAGGUGAGGAUGACGUCAAGUCCGCAUGGCCCUUAUGUCUGGGGCUACACACGUGCUACAAUGGGCGGUACAAAAGGUAGCGAAGCCGUGAGGUGGAGCAAAUCCCUAAAACCGUUCUCAGUUCAGAUUGUAGUCUGCAACUCGACUACAUGAAGUUGGAAUUGCUAGUAAUGGCGGGUCAGCAACACCGCCGUGAAUACGUUCCCGGGCCUUGUACACACCGGUAUCUC